AGAGUUUGAUCCUGGCUCAGAACGAACGCUGGCGGCGUGCCUAACACAUGCAAGUCGAACGGAWUUGAGGKGCUUGCWCYUCAAKUUAGUGGCGCACGGGUGAGUAACGCGUAGAUAAUCUGCCUGAUGAUCYGGGAUAACACUUCGAAAGRGGUGCUAAUACCGGAUAAGCCCACGGRGUCUUUGGAYYYUGCGGGAAAAGGGGGGGACCUUCGGGCCUUCUGUCAUCAGAUGAGUCUGCGUACCAUUAGCUAGUUGGUAGGGUAAUGGCCUACCAAGGCUACGAUGGUUAGCUGGUYUGAGAGRAUGAUCAGCCACACUGGAACUGAGACACGGUCCAGACUCCUACGGGAGGCAGCAGUGGGGAAUUUUGCGCAAUGGGCGAAAGCCUGACGCAGCAACGCCGCGUGAGUGAUGAAGGCUUUCGGGUCGUAAAGCUCUGUCGAGGGGAAAGAAGUGUAUUGUGGCUAAUAUCCACGAUACUUGACGGUACCCCUAAAGGAAGCACCGGCUAACUCCGUGCCAGCAGCCGCGGUAAUACGGGGGGUGCAAGCGUUGUUCGGAAUUAUUGGGCGUAAAGMGCGUGUAGGCGGUYUGWUWAGUCUGAUGUGAAAGCCCUGGGCUCAACCCAGGAAGUGCAUUGGAWACUGKCAGACUUGAAUACGGGAGAGGGYAGUGGAAUUCCUAGUGUAGGAGUGAAAUCCGUAGAUAUUAGGAGGAACACCGGUGGCGAAGGCGGCURCCUGGACCGAUAUUGACGCUGAGACGCGAAAGCGUGGGUAGCAAACAGGAUUAGAUACCCUGGUAGUCC
This 811-nucleotide ribosomal RNA is filed under the name uncultured bacterium. Its description in RNAcentral is "partial 16S ribosomal RNA". It matches the Rfam family "Bacterial small subunit ribosomal RNA", at positions 8 to 796 of the family's 1533-position model. The record is from RNAcentral.